AAACGGAAGCCCAAGGAGGUGAAAUAACUUGCCCCGGGAUGCACAAGCAGGAAACAGAGGAGCCAGGAUUCAAACCCCCUGUGUGGCCAUCCCUGGAGCCCAGACUCUGACCGCAGCAACUUCAGCUUUCAAGUGAAAAUCAAGAUGAUGAGAUACACUGGCCAUAUGGACAAAUCCUCUUGUUUUACAAAAGAAACUAAGGCCCAGAAAUAGACUUUGGAGAUUCCUUUGCUGCAGUCAUUGGGAUGGGAAAGUGAAUGUCCUGCUGCUGAGAAUAUCACAAUGGAUCUGAAAAACUGGGCUUCCAACAUGUAAAACCAGUUUCAAGUUUUCUUUCAUUAGGGCUUCUUAAUGUGUUGGUUUUAUUCCACAAUCAAGUGAUGCUUUAAAUCUUUCAGGCAUAGGUUAAUAAAAGUCAUUUUUUCCUCUUGUGUCUAUUUCCAA
Molecule: long non-coding RNA, 444 nt
Organism: Leopardus geoffroyi (Geoffroy's cat)
Lineage: Eukaryota; Metazoa; Chordata; Mammalia; Carnivora; Felidae
Exons: 2
Source: RefSeq, a predicted model, not a curated record